AAGACCUUGCGCUUUUGGAGCGGCCGAUGUCUGAUUAGCUUGUUGGUAAGGUAAAAGCUUACCAAGGCUUCGAUCAGUAGCUGGUCUGAGAGGACGACCAGCCACACUGGGACUGAGACACGGCCCAGACUCCUACGGGAGGCAGCAGUGGGGAAUUUUGGACAAUGGGCGCAAGCCUGAUCCAGCCAUGCCGCGUGAGUGAAGAAGGCCUUCGGGUUGUAAAGCUCUUUCAGCCGGGAAGAAAAGGUUGCGAUUAAUAAUCGCAAUUUAUGACGGUACCGGAAGAAGAAGCACCGGCUAACUACGUGCCAGCAGCCGCGGUAAUACGUAGGGUGCGAGCGUUAAUCGGAAUUACUGGGCGUAAAGGGUGCGCAGGCGGUUUUGUAAGUCAGAUGUGAAAUCCCCGGGCUUAACCUGGGAACU
This 423-nucleotide ribosomal RNA is filed under the name uncultured bacterium. Its description in RNAcentral is "bacterial SSU rRNA". It matches the Rfam family "Bacterial small subunit ribosomal RNA", at positions 207 to 622 of the family's 1533-position model. The record is from RNAcentral.